AUUGAACGCUGGCGGCAUGCCUAACACAUGCAAGUCGAACGGUAACAGGAAGAAGCUUGCUUAUUUGCUGACGAGUGGCGGAUGAGUGAGCAAUGUCUAGCCAACUGCCUGAUGUAGGGGGAUAACUACUGGAAACGGAAGCUAAUACCUCAUAGCGUCGCAAGACCAAAGCGGGGGGCCUUCGUUCCUCUUGCCAUCUUAUGUGCGCAGAUGGGAUUAGCUAGUAGGUGGGGUAACGGCUCACCUAGGCGACGAUCCCUAGCUGGUCUGAGAGGAUGACCAGCCACACUGGAACUGAGACACGGUCCAGACUCCUACGGGAGGCAGCAGUGGGGAAUAUUGGACAAUGGGCGCAAGCCUGAUGCAGCAAUGCCGCGUGUAGGAAGAAGGCCUUCGGGUUGUAAAGUACUUUCAGCGGGGAGGAAGGGAGUAAAGUUAAUACCUUUAGUCAUUGACGUUACCCGCAGAAGAAGCACCGGCUAACUACGUG
This 490-nucleotide ribosomal RNA is filed under the name uncultured bacterium. RNAcentral's name for it is "partial 16S ribosomal RNA". It matches the Rfam family "Bacterial small subunit ribosomal RNA", at positions 30 to 507 of the family's 1533-position model. The record is from RNAcentral.